This 797-nucleotide small RNA is filed under the name Pongo abelii (Sumatran orangutan). RNAcentral describes it as "processed transcript". The record is from RNAcentral. Lineage: Eukaryota; Metazoa; Chordata; Mammalia; Primates; Hominidae.
ACUCAGAAGCGGGAGUCUCCGAGAGAAGAAAAGCAAGUGAAAGGAGAGGAAGCGGAUGCCGUGGGUUUACAGCAGGAAAAUCCGUGGAGACAGCAGAUCCGAGAAGCGGCGAUGUUUGCGUAGAACCCUGUACGUGCUUCCUUUGGCCUGUCGCUCAAUAACAAUGAAUGUUCGUGCACAUUUCGUGAAAUUUGUCUGCAUGGAGGAGUCACUUUUGAGGUUCACGUGAAUACUAGCCAAAGAGGAUUUCAACAAAAACUGCUUUAUCUAAAUUCAGGAAGGGAGGGUACCGCUGCUCAGAAUUUCUCCUGUUUCAUCUACAAUGUGGAUUUCAUGAACUGUACCUGGGCGAGGGGUCCGACGGCCCCCCGUGACGUCCAGUAUUUUUUGUACAUACAAAACUCAAAGAGAAGGAGGGAGAUCCGGUGUCCUUAUUACAUGCAAGACUCGGGAACCCAUGUGGGAUGUCACCUGGAUAACCUGUCAGGAUUAACGUCUCGCAAUUACUUCCUGGUUAAUGGAACCAGCCGAGAAAUUGGCAUCCAAUUCUUCGAUUCACUUUUGGACACAAAGAAAAUAGAACGAUUCAACCCUCCGGGCAAUGUCACCGUACAUUGCAACACGACGCACUGCAUCGUACGGUGGAAACAACCCAGGACCUACCAGAAGCUGUCGUACCUGGACUUUCAGUACCAGCUGGACGUCCACAGAAAGAAUACCCAGCCUGGCACGGAAAACCUACUGAUUGAUGUUUCUGGUGAUUUGGAAAAUAGAUACAACGUUCCAAGCGCUGAGCC